RNAcentral lists this non-coding RNA (29 nucleotides) under Mus musculus (house mouse). Lineage: Eukaryota; Metazoa; Chordata; Mammalia; Rodentia; Muridae. The record is from RNAcentral.
UGUGAAACUUUGUGCAGACUGCUCCUGUA